CCUACGGGAGGCAGCAGUGAGGAAUAUUGGUCAAUGGGCGAGAGCCUGAACCAGCCAAGUAGCGUGCAGGAUGACGGCCCUAUGGGUUGUAAACUGCUUUUGCAUGGGAAUAAAGUCGGGGACGUGUCCCCGUUUGUAUGUACCAUGAGAAUAAGGACCGGCUAAUUCCGUGCCAGCAGCCGCGGUAAUA
This 190-nucleotide ribosomal RNA is filed under the name uncultured rumen bacterium. RNAcentral describes it as "partial 16S ribosomal RNA". It matches the Rfam family "Bacterial small subunit ribosomal RNA", at positions 338 to 525 of the family's 1533-position model. The record is from RNAcentral.